UACGGAGGGUGCAAGCGUUGCUCGGAAUCAUUGGGCGUAAAGCGCGUGUAGGCGGCUAUCUAAGUCUGAUGUGAAAUCCUGGGGCUUAACCCCAGAACUGCAUUGGAUACUGGGUAGCUAGAGGACGAGAGAGGAUGGUGGAAUUCCUGGUGUAGGGGUGAAAUCCGUAGAUAUCAGGAGGAACAUCAGUGGCGAAGGCGGCCAUCUGGCUCGUACCUGACGCUGAGACGCGAAAGCGUGGGUAGCAAACAGG
This 253-nucleotide ribosomal RNA is filed under the name uncultured bacterium. RNAcentral describes it as "partial 16S ribosomal RNA". It matches the Rfam family "Bacterial small subunit ribosomal RNA", at positions 524 to 776 of the family's 1533-position model. The record is from RNAcentral.